AGGCAACUGGAAGAAGUUCCUAUAGUAAUAUUCAAACAGAUGAUAAAGGAAUUUCUAGUUCGUUUCAAGAUUCCCUAGGAAGAGAUCAAGAAGACAAGGCAUUUUACUCUAGAAAUGGGGACAAGACGGCUUCUACCAGUGAAAGUACCUACAAAAAAAUUGUCCAGUCAGCUGUGCCAAGUAAUCUCAAACGGCAGAAGUCUAAGAAGCACGAAGGAGAUAAAGAGGUUUCAAGAAAAACGAAAGCAAAACCAUGGGGGUGGGUGAUGUGCUUUUCUGAUGAUGACAUAUUGCCAUCAAAUAAACCUGGAUGCGAUACUGCAGGCCGUAUGAGAUAUUCCCACCUUGGCAAUAAGAAGUUUAUUCACGAGAAGAAGACAAAACCUCAGAAUGAUGAGGAACGAUGUUGCAAGACUCCAGAAAUGGUUAAAGUAGGAGCUUCUUUUGCAGAGGCGGGGAGGGAGGAUGAUCAAUUGCAUGCCUCGACUACAGAGUUGAAUGUAUC
This 505-nucleotide long non-coding RNA is filed under the name Cucumis sativus (cucumber). Its description in RNAcentral is "long non-coding RNA (CSAT_LNC001767)". The record is from RNAcentral. Lineage: Eukaryota; Viridiplantae; Streptophyta; Magnoliopsida; Cucurbitales; Cucurbitaceae.